GGUGGAUGGCUGAUAGUAGUGAGUGGCCAAUGAGAAAACAACAAAAAAAUGCUUAAGAAAUAGGGGAUCCAUCCUUUUUUUAUAAUUUCUCCUGUCACUGACCGAUCAUCAGUGGCUAUAACCUCUGGAAAGGAAGAUAGGGUGGUCGGAUGACAUGACCAAGGGUGUAGCAACAAGGGAGACUGCACUGGUGGUCGGAAAAGAGGAUGAAGGCUUGGCCAAGAUAGAAAAAAAAUAGGUUAUUGGCUUUUGGUGGAUUUUCCGACAAAGUCGAUGGCCGAUAACAGUGCGUAAAGAUAGGAAGAAAGAGAGGAAGGUGAGAUCAAGGCUUUAGAUUGAUUCUGAUGAUUUUUAGCAUCGAUUUCAAACAGAAACAAGGAUGGUAGGCCAUGAUUUCAAUGAGAGAAAAGGGGGAGAA
RNAcentral lists this long non-coding RNA (418 nucleotides) under Elaeis guineensis (African oil palm). RNAcentral's name for it is "long non-coding RNA (EGUI_LNC022759)". The record is from RNAcentral. Lineage: Eukaryota; Viridiplantae; Streptophyta; Magnoliopsida; Arecales; Arecaceae.